This 630-nucleotide long non-coding RNA is filed under the name Volvox carteri. RNAcentral's name for it is "long non-coding RNA (VCAR_LNC004423)". Lineage: Eukaryota; Viridiplantae; Chlorophyta; Chlorophyceae; Chlamydomonadales; Volvocaceae. The record is from RNAcentral.
GCACUCUUUUUUGCUUUUAUAACCAACGUCCUCCUUAAGUUACAACCCAGUUGUAAGUAGCUCACGAAAGUUAUUAAGGUUUGUUGGAUCAACCGGCCUAGGCCGGUUGCAACCGCCGGGGCUCAAGCCCCUAGCGUAACGGCCUAGGCCUCCAUGAGCUUAAGAGUGUUUAAAGCCCUGGUUAAACGACUACUAGAAUUGAACAUGUUUUUCUUCGUGAGUAGCUUUUAAAGCCUUUGGUUUUCUUGUAGCAUUGGGCUUCGCCCUCGUCGUUAACGCGUGUGUAUUACUAACAGCCCGUCCCCUUCGGGGAAGCGCUGUUAGUAGAUCAAGGGGCAAAGCCCCUUUCCCCGAAGGGGUUCCCCGAAGGGGUUCCCCGAAGGGGUUCCCCGAAGGGGUUCCCCGAAGGGGUUCCCCGAAGGGGUUCCCCGAAGGGGUUCCCCGAAGGGGUUCCCCGAAGGGGUUCCCCGAAGGGGUUCCCCGAAGGGGUUCCCCGAAGGGGUUCCCCGAAGGGGUUCCCCGAAGGGGUUCCCCGAAGGGGUUCCCCGAAGGGGUUCCCGAAAAGGUUCCCCGAAAAGGUUCCCCGAAGGGGUUCCCCGAAGGGGUUCCCCGAAGGGGUUCCCGAAAAGG